AGUGAAUGUUCUGCAUCUUUUAUUCCUUUCUGCUUUCAGUAGUGGGACAAUGGACUGCAAGGCAAACUGAUAUUUGUAGCCAAGCAUCCUGAAACCAUUUUCUCAGUGAGUUUCACUUUAAACAAUGGGGUUGAUGAAAUCUGUGGUCAACAGAGGACCCUACUCUUUGCCAGUGUGCAUUUCCUGAGCCUCAUUGGUUUAAAUUCUGUGAAGCUUGAGAGAUUUCUCUGUGAACUUCUCCACUCUAUUUGUGGUUCGGAUGGAUUUUUCUUCCCUCGAACGAACGAACGAAACAUUUAAAGGUCUUGGACUGCCUCUCAAUAACUCAUUCUGUCUGUGACAAGAGGAUCUUUGAUAAGACCUCAGAAGACCAUGUCUGCCUGGGCAGUUUGGCCAUGUUCCAUGGAGCCAGAUGCUUGAAGUCUGUUUUGAGAUGGACAAGCAAUUUGUGCAAGUUUGUGCUUCUGCCAUCCAUGUUGCAGCCCUCUGCCCAGACUGCUUAUAAGCACACAGUGCUGGUUUCCAGGGCUGUCAAUCGAGUGGCUGUCACC
This 551-nucleotide long non-coding RNA is filed under the name Numida meleagris (helmeted guineafowl). Its description in RNAcentral is "lncRNA (ENSNMEG00000000653.1)". Lineage: Eukaryota; Metazoa; Chordata; Aves; Galliformes; Numididae. The record is from RNAcentral.